Molecule: ribosomal RNA, 468 nt
Filed under: Lactobacillus gasseri
Lineage: Bacteria; Bacillati; Bacillota; Bacilli; Lactobacillales; Lactobacillaceae
Description: bacterial SSU rRNA
Rfam family: Bacterial small subunit ribosomal RNA
Source: RNAcentral
UCCUACGGGAGGCAGCAGUAGGGAAUCUUCCACAAUGGACGCAAGUCUGAUGGAGCAACGCCGCGUGAGUGAAGAAGGGUUUCGGCUCGUAAAGCUCUGUUGGUAGUGAAGAAAGAUAGAGGUAGUAACUGGCCUUUAUUUGACGGUAAUUACUUAGAAAGUCACGGCUAACUACGUGCCAGCAGCCGCGGUAAUACGUAGGUGGCAAGCGUUGUCCGGAUUUAUUGGGCGUAAAGCGAGUGCAGGCGGUUCAAUAAGUCUGAUGUGAAAGCCUUCGGCUCAACCGGAGAAUUGCAUCAGAAACUGUUGAACUUGAGUGCAGAAGAGGAGAGUGGAACUCCAUGUGUAGCGGUGGAAUGCGUAGAUAUAUGGAAGAACACCAGUGGCGAAGGCGGCUCUCUGGUCUGCAACUGACGCUGAGGCUCGAAAGCAUGGGUAGCGAACAGGAUUAGAUACCCUGGGUAGUCC